AGAAAGAUAAGCUAAUUUAAGCUACCAGGUUCAUACCCUGUUUAUAGAAGUAAAAUCUUCUUCUUUCUA
This 69-nucleotide transfer RNA is filed under the name Clavigralla tomentosicollis. Its description in RNAcentral is "tRNA-Met". The record is from RNAcentral. Lineage: Eukaryota; Metazoa; Arthropoda; Insecta; Hemiptera; Coreidae.